RNAcentral lists this ribosomal RNA (529 nucleotides) under uncultured bacterium. Its description in RNAcentral is "bacterial SSU rRNA". It matches the Rfam family "Bacterial small subunit ribosomal RNA", at positions 976 to 1509 of the family's 1533-position model. The record is from RNAcentral.
UACCCUUGACAUGUCUGGAAUGCCGAAGAGAUUUUGGCAGUGCUCGCAAGAGAACCGGAACACAGGUGCUGCAUGGCUGUCGUCAGCUCGUGUCGUGAGAUGUUGGGUUAAGUCCCGCAACGAGCGCAACCCUUGUCAUUAGUUGCUACGAAAGGGCACUCUAAUGAGACUGCCGGUGACAAACCGGAGGAAGGUGGGGAUGACGUCAAGUCCUCAUGGCCCUUAUGGGUAGGGCUUCACACGUCAUACAAUGGUCGGGACAGAGGGCUGCCAACCCGCAAGGGGGAGCCAAUCCCAGAAACCCGAUCGUAGUCCGGAUCGCAGUCUGCAACUCGACUGCGUGAAGUCGGAAUCGCUAGUAAUCGCGGAUCAGCAUGUCGCGGUGAAUACGUUCCCGGGUCUUGUACACACCGCCCGUCACACCAUGGGAGUGGGUUUUACCAGAAGUAGUUAGCCUAACCGCAAGGGGGCGAUUACCACGGUAGGAUUCAUGACUGGGGUGAAGUCGUAACAAGGUAGGCGUAGCGAG